This 125-nucleotide small RNA is filed under the name Sinorhizobium meliloti 2011. RNAcentral's name for it is "putative ncRNA". The record is from RNAcentral. Lineage: Bacteria; Pseudomonadati; Pseudomonadota; Alphaproteobacteria; Hyphomicrobiales; Rhizobiaceae.
UCUUGAUCUUGGUGAGGCCUUCGACCAAGGCGCCGAUAUCCUCGCCGAAGAGGUCGUCUAUCUCCUGCCGCGUCGCGGUCGUAUCCUCGAUCGUGUCGUGCAGCAGCGCGACGGCGAUCGUGGAU